UGGAUACACACGGAGAAAUAGGAUGCA
Molecule: non-coding RNA, 27 nt
Filed under: Mus musculus (house mouse)
Lineage: Eukaryota; Metazoa; Chordata; Mammalia; Rodentia; Muridae
Source: RNAcentral